RNAcentral lists this ribosomal RNA (1388 nucleotides) under uncultured bacterium. RNAcentral describes it as "16S ribosomal RNA". It matches the Rfam family "Bacterial small subunit ribosomal RNA". The record is from RNAcentral.
UUCGCCCUUAGAGUUUGAUCCUGGCUCAGGACGAACGCUGGCGGCGCGCCUAACACAUGCAAGUCGAACGGAGCUGAUAGGAGCUUGCUUUUCUCAGCUUAGUGGCGAACGGGUGAGUAACGCGUGAGUAACCUGCCCUGGAGUGCGGGGACAACAGUUGGAAACAACUGCUAAUACCGCAUAAGCCCACGGCCCGGCAUCGGGCUGCGGGAAAAGGAUUUAUUCGCUUCAGGAUGGACUCGCGUCCAAUUAGCUAGUUGGUGAGGUAACGGCCCACCAAGGCGACGAUUGGUAGCCGGACUGAGAGGUUGAACGGCCACAUUGGGACUGAGACACGGCCCACACUCCUACGGGAGGCAGCAGUGGGGGAUAUUGCACAAUGGGGGAAACCCUGAUGCAGCGACGCCGCGUGGAGGAAGAAGGUUUUCGGAUUGUAAGCUCCUGUCGUUAGGGACGAUAAUGACGGUACCUAACAAGAAAGCACCGGCUAACUACGUGCCAGCAGCCGCGGUAAAACGUAGGGUGCAAGCGUUGUCCGGAAUUACUGGGUGUAAAGGGAGCGCAGGCGGACCGGCAAGUUGGAAGUGAAAACUAUGGGCUCAACCCAUAAAUUGCUUUCAAAACUGCUGGCCUUGAGUAGUGCAGAGGUAGGUGGAAUUCCCGGUGUAGCGGUGGAAUGCGUAGAUAUCGGGAGGAACACCAGUGGCGAAGGGCGACUUACUGGGCACCAACUGACGCUGAGGCUGGAAAGCAUGGGUAGCAAACAGGAUUAGAUACCCUGGUAGUCCAUGCCGUAAACGAUGAUUACUAGGUGUUGGAGGAUUGACCCCUUCAGUGCCGCAGUUAACACAAUAAGUAAUCCACCUGGGGAGUACGACCGCAAGGUUGAAACUCAAAGGAAUUGACGGGGGCCCGCACAAGCAGUGGAGUAUGUGGUUUAAUUUGAAGCAACGCGAAGAACCUUACCAGGUCUUGACAUCCGAUGCAUAGUGCAGAGAUGCAUGAAGUCCUUUGGGACAUCGAGACAGGUGGUGCAUGGUUGUCGUCAGCUCGUGUCGUGAGAUGUUGGGUUAAGUCCCGCAAUCGAGCGCAACCUUUAUUGCCAGUUACUACGAUAAGAGGACUCUGGCGAGACUUGCCGUUGACAAACCGGAGGAAGGUGGGGAUGAUGUCUAAAUCAUCAUGCCCUUUAUGACCUGGGCUACACACGUAGUACAAGGGUGUUUAACAAAUAGAAGCAAGACCGCGAGGUGGAGCAAAACUCAAAAACCACGUCUCAGUUCUGAUUGCAGGAUGCAAUUCGCCUGCAUGAAGUCGGAAUUGUUAGUAAUCGCGGAUCAGCAUGCCGCGGUGAAUACGUUCCCGGCCCUUGUACACACCGCCCGUCA